UUCAUUGUUUAGUGUGUAAUUUUUAAGACCUUAAAGUGGCUCCCAUUUCCCCCAAGACAAAUCAGCAACAAAUAAACAGGCUUUGACAACAGAGGAUGCAGCCACCUGCCAGCGCACGUCCAGGGUCCUGCAUAGCUUCCUGAGAGAAACCCGAGCUGUGAGUGUAAACCUGAAGGGGACGUUUGUGAGUCGCUGGGGUGAGGUCACCACCUCCACAGCCGGCCACUUCUUCCCCUAAAUAACAGAUGUGGCGUCUGUCCUGCUCCCCAUGUGAGUUUCUGAUUGUAAUUGUCUCUCCAGUGGCUCUCCAACUCAGUAAAGCUUGGUCCUUUUUACAUGUUUGUCAUGCUAAACCAACAGAACUAUUUGAAGUGUAUCUGAUUGUUUUGACUUAUAUACAAAAUGUGUGAGAUCUAUUUCCUACAAGACUGUCUUGCUAAAAUACUUUUUAAUAUAAUGUUGAAUAUAAAAAUAUAUAAUUAUUAUUAUUUUUUUUUACAACUGGCAAACUCUCCUACUGUCUGCAAACGGCCAGUUGUUUGAGAUCAGAUGUCCGUUUACUGUGGAAAAGACAGCAGGCUUCACAACCAGAAACCUUGAGGCCUAAACUCUGUAUUUCCUAUCAGUGAACACAAGGGGAAAAUUACCAGUUUGACUGUCCGCUGUGAAGCUUUGACAGGUGCAUCCAGUCAUACAGUCCCUUAUAUUGCUACUUGGCCAAAAUAUUUCCCCACCGGUUCCCUGGCAACAAGGCAUGCCGGCUGAUGCUGAGCGAGAGUGAGGCGGCGUGCUCUGCUCCCACCGCUGCAGUCCUUCACGUUUCCAAAAAAAUAGCUUCUGCUGUGGAAAUCUCUCUGUCUGCACCACCGCAAAACAGGACAGAGGGGAAAAGGAACACAUGCUGGAUGGA
Molecule: non-coding RNA, 910 nt
Organism: Electrophorus electricus (electric eel)
Lineage: Eukaryota; Metazoa; Chordata; Actinopteri; Gymnotiformes; Gymnotidae
Source: RefSeq, a predicted model, not a curated record